CACGUAGGGGGGCGGGCGUGUCCGGAUUUAUUGGGCGUAAAGAGCUCGUAGGUGGCUCGGUAAGUCGGGUGUGAAAAUUUCGAGGCUCAACCUCGAAAACGCCACCUGAUACUGCUGUGGCUAGAGUCCGGUAGGGGGAGCGUGGAAUUCCUGGUGUAGCGGUGAAAUGCGCAGAUAUCAGGAGGAACACCAGCGGCGAAGGCGGCGCUCUGGGGCCGGUACUGACACUGAGGAGCGAAAAGCGUGGGGGAUCAAACAGG
RNAcentral lists this ribosomal RNA (260 nucleotides) under uncultured bacterium. Its description in RNAcentral is "partial 16S ribosomal RNA". It matches the Rfam family "Bacterial small subunit ribosomal RNA", at positions 524 to 776 of the family's 1533-position model. The record is from RNAcentral.